UCUACGGGUGGCAGCAGUGGGGAAUAUUGCACAAUGGGGGAAACCCUGAUGCAGCGACGCCGCGUGCGUGAAGAAGUAAUUCGUUACGUAAAGCUCCAUUAGCAGGGAAGAAAAUGACGGUACCUGAGUAAGAUGGCCUGGCUAACUACGUGCCAGCAGCCGCGGUUAUACGGAGGGGGCGAGCGUUAUACGGAUUUACUGGGUGUAAAGGGAGCGUAGACGGUUUGCCAAGUCUGCAGUGAAAUGCCCGAGCGUAACUGCGGAACUGCUGUGGAAACUGGCGAACUAGAGUGCGGGAGGGGGAAGCGGAAUUCGUAGUGUAGCGGUGAAAGGCGUAGAUAUGAGGAAGAACACCGGUUGCGAAGGCAGCUUACUGGAGCGUAACUGACGUUGAUGCUCGAAAGCGUGGGGAGCGAACAGGAUUAGAUACCCGAGUAGUC
RNAcentral lists this ribosomal RNA (440 nucleotides) under uncultured bacterium. Its description in RNAcentral is "partial 16S ribosomal RNA". It matches the Rfam family "Bacterial small subunit ribosomal RNA", at positions 338 to 795 of the family's 1533-position model. The record is from RNAcentral.